UUUGUCUUCAAAUUGAAAGAUUAUAAUUCCACCUUCAAAUAAUAAUUCCUUAGAUUUGCUUUUACACUGCCAAACAGUUUAUCAUCCACCUACAUGUCAGGUUCUGUUAUGUAGCCUUGAAAUUUUCACAAGAACCUAAUAUGAUUAAGAAAAUCAUGUUUAAAUACAAUUAUUCUUCUAGCGACCACUCUAUCCUUUUUUUAUCCUCCUUAUGAGCCGUGGACCAAACAUUUAUAUUUUAUACUAUUUUUGAUAAUGAGAUGCAGUGACAAGCCAUUAAGCACAUUUGUUUUCUAUCAGAUUAACGCCAAAAUCUAUCAGAUCAAUGAAAUUAAGAUGUUUCAUGCAAACUCCAUGAGGCGAAUAAAUAAGGUCCUUCCAUUUGA
RNAcentral lists this unclassified non-coding RNA (386 nucleotides) under Hevea brasiliensis (rubber tree). Lineage: Eukaryota; Viridiplantae; Streptophyta; Magnoliopsida; Malpighiales; Euphorbiaceae. The record is from RNAcentral.